AACCGCAAUUGACGUGGACCUA
RNAcentral lists this non-coding RNA (22 nucleotides) under Arabidopsis thaliana (thale cress). Lineage: Eukaryota; Viridiplantae; Streptophyta; Magnoliopsida; Brassicales; Brassicaceae. The record is from RNAcentral.